Molecule: transfer-messenger RNA, 387 nt
Filed under: Acrocarpospora pleiomorpha
Lineage: Bacteria; Bacillati; Actinomycetota; Actinomycetes; Streptosporangiales; Streptosporangiaceae
Rfam family: transfer-messenger RNA
About the family: Bacterial tmRNA, also known as 10Sa RNA or SsrA, is named for its dual tRNA and mRNA-like properties. Its role is to liberate the mRNA from a stalled ribosome. To accomplish this part of the tmRNA is used as a reading frame that ends in a translation stop signal.
Source: RNAcentral
GGGGGUGACCGGUUUCGACUUCGACAUUUCAAGGCAGGGGAAGCGGGCCGAGGACGGCGGACAUAACCUCGUUAACACUGUGACCGCAAACCAAUAAGUGCCGAUAACACGAGCACUCCGGCUAGCCAGCGUACGCUGGCUCUCGCUGCCUAAGCAGCCGAGCUAAGCCGUGUCAGCCCGGGACCGCCUCCGGCCCGGGACCUGGCAUCGCUAGGAGGCUAAACCUCUUGACCCGGUCGCGGGGCCAAUAGGGAAACCAAACAGCGACUGAGCCCGUCGGCGACUCGCCUGUGAGAUCGCCGGGGCUGAGAAACUCACAACAGGCUGCGCCCGGAGAAGCCCUGGCUCGGUGCCGAAGGACGCGGGUUCGAUUCCCGCCACCUCCAC